CCUACGGGAGGCAGCAGUGAGGAAUAUUGGUCAAUGGACGAGAGUCUGAACCAGCCAAGUAGCGUGAAGGAUGACUGCCCUAUGGGUUGUAAACUUCUUUUAUAUGGGAAUAAAAUGUUCCACGUGUGGGAUUUUGUAUGUACCAUAUGAAUAAGGAUCGGCUAACUCCGUGCCAGCAGCCGCGGUACUACGGAGGAUCCGAGCGUUAUCCGGAUUUAUUGGGUUUAAAGGGAGCGUAGGUGGAUUGUUAAGUCAGUUGUGAAAGUUUGGGGCUCAACCGUAAAAUUGCAGUUGAAACUGGCAGUCUUGAGUACAGUAGAGGUGGGCGGAAUUCGUGGUGUAGCGGUGAAAUGCUUAGAUAUCACGAAGAACUCCGAUUGCGAAGGCAGUUCACUGGACUGCAACUGACACUGAGGCUCGAAAGUGUGGGUAUCAAACAGGAUUAGAUACCCUUGUAGUC
RNAcentral lists this ribosomal RNA (460 nucleotides) under uncultured bacterium. RNAcentral describes it as "partial 16S ribosomal RNA". It matches the Rfam family "Bacterial small subunit ribosomal RNA", at positions 338 to 795 of the family's 1533-position model. The record is from RNAcentral.